AAUGCUUAGUACGGCGAGUGAGCGGCAAAGCUCAAUUUGAAAUCUGGUACCUUUGGUGCCCGAGUUGUAAUUUGGAGAGUACCACUUUGGGACUGUACUUUGCCUAUGUUCCUUGGAACAGGACGUCAUGGAGGGUGAGAAUCCCGUGUGGCGAGGGUGUCAGUUCUUUGUAAAGGGUGCUCGAAGAGUCGAGUUGUUUGGGAAUGCAGCUCUAAGUGGGUGGUAAAUUCCAUCUAAAGCUAAAUACAGGCGAGAGACCGAUAGCGAACAAGUACAGUGAUGGAAAGAUGAAAAGAACUUUGAAAAGAGAGUGAAAAAGUACGUGAAAUUGUUGAAAGGGAAGGGCAUUUGAUCAGACAUGGUGUUUUGCGCCCCUUGCCUCUCGUGGGCUUGGGACUCUCGCAGCUCACUGGGCCAGCAUCGGUUUUGGCGGCCGGAAAAAACCUAGGGAAUGUGGCUCUGCGCCUCGGUGUACAGUGUUAUAGCCCUGGGGAAUACGGCCAGCCGGGACCGAGGA
RNAcentral lists this ribosomal RNA (517 nucleotides) under Nakaseomyces glabratus. RNAcentral's name for it is "eukaryotic LSU rRNA". It matches the Rfam family "Eukaryotic large subunit ribosomal RNA", at positions 73 to 593 of the family's 3401-position model. The record is from RNAcentral. Lineage: Eukaryota; Fungi; Ascomycota; Saccharomycetes; Saccharomycetales; Saccharomycetaceae.